CUCCACUCCUUCCUUUCGCAUGCAAUCGGCGCCCCCCACUCCUAGGGUAAGGAAGCCGAUGCAGAAGCAGGCGAGGAAGCCGGGGAUGAUGAAGUAGGGCACAGGGGCAGCUCCAGCCGCACCCCCUACCCCGAGCGCUGAAAAGCCCCGGUGCAGACGGGAGGCGGCAGAGGGGUAAAGCGGAUCCCCUCUCCUCAAGCUCCCCUCCGCCAUGGCCUCUGGGAACAGCAGCGACCCACCAGACCGUCAUCGACGCAGGACCAGUGAGAGGCUCAAUUCGGAAGAUCAGGUGGCCCAGGAGACCGAGGAGGUGUUCCGGAGCUAUGCUUUCUACCGCUACCAGCAGGAGAGGGAAGAGGGCGGAGGGGAGGUGCCGAUGGACCCCGAGAUUGCAGAGAUCCAGCAGGAGCCGGGCAGCACCAGUAACCAGGUGGGCAGGCGCCUGGCCAUCAUCGGAGAUGACAUCAACAUGCGGUAUGACGCAGAGUUCCGGAACAUGCUGAAGACCCUGCAGCCCACAAAGGACAAUGCCUACGAGUACUUCACUAAGAUAGCCUCCAGCUUGUUUGACAGCGGCAUUAACUGGGGCAGGGUGAUUGCGCUGCUGGGGUUCGGUUACCGGAUGGCGAUUCAUGUGUACCAGCACGGGGUGACCGGCUUCCUCCGGAGCAUUGCUCGCUACGUGGCAGAAUUCGUGCUCCGCAACCGCAUCGCCCAGUGGAUUGCUGACCAAGGAGGAUGGGUGGCAGCACUGGAGUUGGAUAAUGUUUACGUAUUGUACAUGAUGGGGGUGUUGGUCGUGGUCCUGCUGGGUCAUUUGGUGGUACGACGCUUCUUCAGCCCAUGACUGGAGUGGAGGCCGAGGCCGGCGAUCUGGCCAAACUCUCUCUCAAUAUUCCACUCCGUCAUAAAGACAUUUACUGAGAGAGAGGGGCUCAGGGAACAAACAAGGGAGAGCAGAUUGGAAAUGAUGACUCCUCUUCGGAGACAGCACCAUCCACGGAGAGACUGCCAUCCGUGGGGAGACUGCCAAGGACUACACAGAGAGGCGUUAAUGGGGGGAUUUUGGGGGGGUGGGGAGGGAUUGAAUUAUCUCAUCCAAAGGUUGAAUGCAGCAGUCAGGAACAUCAGCAUGAUGACAUUCCCAGCAUGCAGCGAUGGGCGAGGGUUACAGGCUCCUGCACUGUACAGAAACUGGAGAAGGCCCAUUAGAGGAACAAACAUUGUUAAAGUAAUGCACGUGUCUCCCGCAUCCACUCAGUAGCAUUCUCAAGAGCCCUCCCAGGGAAAGGCACAGAACAUCCGCUAAUGGAUCUCAGCCCAGAUCUCUCCUGCCUUCGCAUAACAGGAUUAUAGCCACUGCCGUUAGUCUCUGCCUGUAAGUCAUUGGAGGGGGUCAGCCAGUGCUGGAGAGUCCAGGGGGGUUUUGCUCUUACCUUCUCUUGCUUCCAGCCUACCAAACCCAGUUUCUUAGUUUUCCGGUUACUUUAAAAGAACCUCUGUGUCCACCUCUAAACAAAUACACUGUUUGGUAUGUGACAAUCAUGACUAAAAAUCCAGUUGCCCCCAGACAAAAUGACAGACUGAUCCUGUCAGGAUCUGAAUUUGGAGAUCUGCUUUUCCUCCCAGGGACAUCGCAGACACCUAACAGAGCAGCAUGCUAGGACUGUGCUAGUGGUCCUGGUUGCCAGCCCUUCCUUGGGGAACGCAGAAGCCUGAACUUCAGGGUGGCAGCAGGUGUAUAAGGGAACGGCUGGUUUUCAAACACUAAAAUAUGGUCAGGUUAAAAAUCCUGGGGUAAAUCAAGAGUGAACGUUUUGGGUUGUAAUGCACCAUCCCAAGUCUGCAGUGUUUGGCUUACAGGCACAGCAGAUGAUGGUCUUCAUCCACAAACCUUUCUAUGGAGAAUCCGUCUGGCGGGGCCCCUCUCAUUUGACUCCUGUAUUUCUGUCCGUGAUUGGAGAUUGUAAACCGCUCCCUGUUGGCAGUUAUUCAGAGUGAUGGCAAAGCAGAGCCCCCGCUUUGAAAUCCUCUGAGCUUUUGUCAGUGGGCGUGGAGUUUCUAAAUCUGGAUCUGAGGCUUGGGUUCAUCUGUGCUUCCCACUUCAGGUUACUUUGUAAAGCUUGCAAACUGUGACUGGAUUUAGGCUGUGUCCACCUGGGCCUCAGACUGGGUUUAGACUCAAUUCCUGCUAACUCCGUUUCUAGCACUUUUUCGGCCAGACAGUGGGGAGGGAGCCAAACUAUCUUCUGGUCAAAGGAGAGUGGGAGAGCCAGUUAUCAGCUAAUAUAUGGCUUCAGUGCCCUGAAGCUGAGGACAUGGCUCCUGUCUAAAGGCUACUGUAGCUAGGGCCAAAGCUACUUAAUUUUAUACUGGAGACUGGAUAGAAGCACCAUCAACACUAAGACUAAAAGUAUCUCAAGCGUUAUCAGGGAUUUUUCCGUUCUUGCCUGUGUCGUGAACCUUUGCUGGCUGCAGUGCACAGUUUACUGGAGUAGGAUGGGAGAAGGCAGCUGGGAUGGCUGGUAAAGGGAUGCUGUGAUUACUCUUCUAGGCAGUUGCAGUGGUGGAUCUCGUAGGGAUUGCCAGAGUGCAUCAGACCCGUGCCUUGUCUAGUCUGGUAACCUGGCUCAGACGGUGGCCUGGUGCUUCAGAGGAAAAAGGAAGCCCGCCGUAGGAAAACGUGGGGUAAUCUGCCCCCAUGAAGGCCUCAUCCUAAUCCCUAAUAGUUAAGAGAUUGGCUUUAACCUCAAAGCAUGACGUUUAAUAUCCCUUCUGAAAUUUGUAUUAGCAUUAAAUGUGGUAAUUUGGUCUAUUCCUGUUAUCCAUCUAAAUUCCCACGCCCUCUUUGAAUCCUGCUAAAUGCUAAUCCUCAGCAACAUCUGCACUGGUUCCUCUAUCUAAUUAUAGUCUAUAUGGUAUUUCCUUUUAGCGGUUAGAAUGACCCAGCUUUUGUUGAUUGAAUGUCUCCUUGCUCAGGAAAGAACAUUAGCUCCCCUUCUCUAGACCAUUCAGUAUUUGAUAUACUUGUUCUCUUCUAUUUUUCUCCUUUCUAAGGUAAAAUGGUAGCAAACUUCCCCUCCUAUGAGUGUUCUUCCAGGCCCUUGACCAUUCUCUUCACCCGUCUCUGAACCUCCUCCUGUUAUGCAAUAUCCUUUUGGAAAUGGGGUUCCCGGUACUACACACAGUAUCUGCAAACCACAGAUUUUUAAAGACAUUAGAAUAUUUUCCAUAGCGUGCUGCAUCUGACUCCUUAUACAUCCUGCCAUCUUGUUUGCUGUUUUUCACCAGCUACACAGUGAGUGAAGGUCUCACUGAGCUGUGACAUCCAGGCCCGUCUCCUGAGUUGAUACAGUUAAUUUGGAACCCUGUACGCUAUAUGAGCUCUUUCCCCUCCCCCCUUCAGUGUGCAUUACGUUGCAGUGAUCAACACUAAGCAUCACUUCCCAUCUUGUUGCCAGUUCAUCUGGCUUGAUUAGGUCCCUCUGGAGUUCUUCGGUGUUCUCUCUGGUCUCGCCUAACCUAAAUAACUGGGUAUUAGCUGCAAAUUUUGCCACUGCAGCGCUUACCCUCUCUUCCAGAUGACACUGAACUCCAGACCUAGUACAGCACCUGGAGGCAUCUGCUGUUAAUCUUGUUGACCCAUGCCAGGGAUUCUUCAUGACUAAUUAGUUUCUUUAAUAGCCUCUUGUGCAAGACCUUGUCAGAGGCCUUUGGAAAGUCUAAAUAAAUUAUGACAACAGGCUCUAUUGAUAUGUUCCAAGCACUUGUAGAUUAGUGAGACAUGAUUUUCCUUUGUAAGAACCAUGCUGACUUAUCAUUUUGAUCCAGAACAGUUUACCAAGGGCCAUGCUGGAUUCUCCAUCAGUGACCAUUUUUAAUCAUGAUUUGAUGUUUUUUUCUAGAAUAUCUGCUCUAGAAAUUAUUUUGGAGUAGUUCUGUGGCCUGGGCUAUCCAGGAGGUCAGACAAGAUGACCACAAUGAUCCUUUCUGCCCUUGUAAUCUGUGAAUCUGCCAGAUGUGUGAAUUAUCUGUUUUUUGUUUCAAUCAAUUUCCCAGAAACCAGAUUCAAGGCUAGUAGAUUUUUUUUUUAAUAAGAUGCUUUAUGGUAAGUGAUCAAGUCCCAGUGGAGUCAGUGAUAUGGGACCCAAGAAGGGAAUCUUUAAAACUUGAACCUUUGCUUUGUUUACCGCUUUUAUUCUCUGCCACCUCCAAAAAUAUUCAACAGGGCACCGUCAAACUCAACCCACUGCAAGGACCGUAUUGGGGCAUUUGCUUGUUACCCCCGUAACCUUACUAGAAAAUCAUCCCUGUUGCUAGCACUAAUUUCUAAGUGGACAAAAGGCAGGUUUCAACUGGGAGAUGAGACAAAUAUGUGCUGCUAAAUGAAUUGCUGAUCUGCAGUACUGUAUUCAGUCUCUGGCUGGCACUGUUGCACAAGUAGGAGGGAUAUCUUAAGUUUUAAGUCUAUUUGGAACCUACCUUGAAAGAGGGAUAGAAUCCAGUGGGGAAAGCUGCUGUGUGAUUUUUAACAGUAUCUUACAUUGGUCCAGCUGGCCCCACGUUUCAUCUGCUAAACCCAGCACUCAUUAGGAGCUGCCUUAGGGUCUGUGUUCUGAGCUGUCGUUUUCAUCUGUUUUUAAUUGGGCUGCUGGUCAGGGAGGCACUGGAUGCUUUUGGGGACAGGGUUGGGAAUGGGCAAGGAAAGCCUUUUCUCCUUGGCCCUGCAGGUUCGACACCAGCGCGGGAGAGAGAGAGGACCAAAAAAACUGUGUAGAACAAGUGGGUGAGCUCAGUCCAGAGAGCUGUGGACGGGUGUCUACCUUAAUCUCCAUUACCAUUGGCCCUUAUUAGCUGUGUCAGCAGAGGAAGCUUGAAGUGGGGCUGUCUGCAGGGGUGUUAUUUCAGAAAACUGUUGGGGGGAAGAGGCAAGCAAUGGAGCAAAGUUGUGUUGGCAUAUAGAACAUUAUAUGUGAUUAUAUUCUAGCCUGCAAAGCUGGGAAGAUUGGUGUGUGUGUGCGACAUACAGACCUAUGAAAAAUCUGGGGGAGGGGAGGCAACUGCCCCGCCUGCCCCACAGCAAAUGACACCCCUGGCUGCCUGUGCUGUGCACAGAGCAUUUCAGUCUCUGGGUUAAGCAAUGCCACCAAUUUCCCCCUCCCCCCCCUUUUUUUUCCUUGGAAGGAGCCCUCUUUGCUUUAAGGAAAUGAAAGCCCUACGAAGGGGGUUACAGUCCUUGUAAUAAUCCCAAACCACCAAACUGCGGUGAAAGCAGCCAGCGUGUAAAGAUGCCUGUUGCGGGUGGUGAUGAAGUUGACUGGAGUCCUUAACAGAGUGUACGCUAGAGGCUAACAGCCUGCCUUGUCACUAACUCCUCCUUGUUCCUGUUAAGAAAAUGUGGGUGUUUGCUGCACUGAACAGCAGGGGUUUCCCUGCAGAGUUCUACUGUAAUACUCCUAGCCACAUGGUACUAACUUGUGGGUAGAUGUGGCCAAACCACUACAAAAGCGACACCUCGUAUGGCAUGCUUGUCCCCACAGUGGGGACAGACAGAAUUGUGGACCCGAGUGAGGUGCUCAGGAGGAGACAGCUGUAGACGGGAGAUAAUGAUUCUCCCUCCCUCCGUGGGGGUGCGCUGAGGAGGAAUUCAUCAUGGUUGCAAGUCUGGCCUAACCAAGCCUACGAAGACCUAAGGAUGCCUGGUUGAGCAAGGCAGUUGCAGCUUGUGAACUGGACAUGGGCCACCUGCAGCGAGGGUUCUGGAAUGCCGUGUGUACUAGAGCCAGACCCUUUCCAUUCCCUACACUUGCUGCAUGGGCUAGGAUGGCUGCCCAUGCCCUUAUGUCAUCUCCUAAGCUCCACAGCAAGUCCGUGAGCUCACUGAGGGAGAGACCCUUGCACAAAGUACCAGCUUUCUAAAAAAAAUCCAAAGCUGCAUAGUUGAUGCUCUGGAGCUGUCGCAGUUACAAUGUCAUGAGCCACUCCCAACAGGGCAGUGCUGUCAAAUUAAGGGGCUGCCUUGGGCAAGCUAGGAGGAGCAUUCUUGUUUCCAUUAACAGGAGCAGAGCUAGGACACAAGGGAGAUGCAUACCCAUACCCAUUGAGGAAGAGUUCCAGCUCAGAGAAUGCUUAGUCCUACGCUGUCCCCAAAACACAAGAGCUUUAAGCAGAAUGACAACAUGCCCUUGACAGACAGAGAUUGCCCUCUAUGUAUCCCCCUCUGCUGCCUGGAAGCAGGAGUCUGGUGCCCUCCCUUGUCUUCUCCCUUGGACACUUUGCUUCACUGAUGAGCCUCAUUAACCACGCUUCCUCACUAACCAUAUGGCGGGAGAGAACACGAGGCUUCCCCGAGGUCAGGGAAGAACCAGGAUGGCUGGGAAGUGACCACAGGCAGUAACGUGGUGCAAGCAUCCACGCUUGGAGAAGCUGAGUCCAGCCAACAUGGAGGGAAUUGUAGGGCAAUCUGUGCUCCUGUUGCUCCCAAUGGUGCAGAGGUGAGAAUCUUCCAGCUCACUCCAGAGUCCCCCUUAGUAACUAUGCAACCUGCCUCCAGAAUUCAAGUGGAGGGGAGAGCCAGUGCAGAUUGGGGAGCACCAGCCACUGCAGCUCAAGCCCCUGGUUUUCAUAAGCUCUUGACGGCAGGCUCCUUUUUCCAGGGGAACAGGCUGUGGGCUGCCCGUGCUCUUGCCAUUCAUGUUCCAAGGACUCUCUAUGCCUGCCUGGCUGGGGGCACUGGCGGCCAGGUUGCAACAGUGCCCUCUGCUUGUUCCGUCCAAGGUGCAGUCCAAUCUGCCCAUGGCCACCAUGAUGUUGUAGAGAUCCCUCAGGCUCCCGUUCUGCUCUUCUAAGACCUCUAAGAUGGCAGCCACUGGGCUUUGCUGGCAUGCAAAAUACCUGCGGAAAGGAAGACCAGUCAGAGCAGCCAGCCUUCCUACACGACUGCAUUUGGACCAAGUGGAAUAGGGGAGACAGUGGGGAAUUACAAGGCUCAAAUGGAGAUGGGGUAGUGCAGGACUGGGACUCAAGCAACCUGAAUUCCACUCCCAGCUCUACCACUGACUCCCUCUGUCUUUGGGCAGGUCGCAUCCCCAUAGUGACUCAGUAUCCUCAUUUAUAAAACGGGGAUAAAUAACCCUCUCCUGCCCUUACAAAGCACUCUGAGCUCUAUACAAGUGUGAACUGUUCAUAUCACAAGAGGCUAAAAUUAAACAGGGGAGAGAUUCAUUUCUGAGCCAAAACUUUUCUCCCAUGGCAAUUUGA
Gopherus evgoodei (Goodes thornscrub tortoise) is the source of this 7260-nucleotide RNA transcript. It is a transcript of the gene named BCL2 antagonist/killer 1, with no coding region annotated. NCBI's taxonomy places the organism in Eukaryota, Metazoa, Chordata, Testudines, Testudinidae. The record is from RefSeq and is a predicted model, not a curated record. The transcript has 7 exons.